RNAcentral lists this ribosomal RNA (1354 nucleotides) under Pyrococcus sp. JT1. RNAcentral describes it as "16S ribosomal RNA". It matches the Rfam family "Archaeal small subunit ribosomal RNA". The record is from RNAcentral. Lineage: Archaea; Methanobacteriati; Methanobacteriota; Thermococci; Thermococcales; Thermococcaceae.
GGGCGUCCCUUCUGGGACGCCACCGGCGGACGGCUCAGUAACACGUCGGUUACCUACCCUCGGGAGGGGGAUAACCCCGGGAAACUGGGGCUAAUCCCCCAUAGGCCUGGGGUACUGGAAGGUCCCCAGGCCGAAAGGGAACCGUUAGGUCCCGCCCGAGGAUGGGCCGGCGGCCGAUUAGGUAGUUGGUGGGGUAACGGCCCACCAAGCCGAAGAUCGGUACGGGCCGUGAGAGCGGGAGCCCGGAGAUGGACACUGAGACACGGGUCCAGGCCCUACGGGGCGCAGCAGGCGCGAAACCUCCGCAAUGCGGGAAACCGCGACGGGGGGACCCCCAGUGCCGUGCCUCUGGCACGGCUUUUCCGGAGUGUAAAAAGCUCCGGGAAUAAGGGCUGGGUAAGGCCGGUGGCAGCCGCCGCGGUAAUACCGGCGGCCCGAGUGGUGGCCACUAUUAUUGGGCCUAAAGCGGCCGUAGCCGGGCCCGUAAGUCCCUGGCGAAAUCCCACGGCUCAACCGUGGGGCUCGCUGGGGAUACUGCGGGCCUUGGGACCGGGAGAGGCCGGGGGUACCCCCGGGGUAGGGGUGAAAUCCUAUAAUCCCGGGGGGACCGCCAGUGGCGAAGGCGCCCGGCUGGAACGGGUCCGACGGUGAGGGCCGAAGGCCAGGGGAGCGAACCGGAUUAGAUACCCGGGUAGUCCUGGCUGUAAAGGAUGCGGGCUAGGUGUCGGGCGAGCUUCGAGCUCGCCCGGUGCCGUAGGGAAGCCGUUAAGCCCGCCGCCUGGGGAGUACGGCCGCAAGGCUGAAACUUAAAGGAAUUGGCGGGGGAGCACUACAAGGGGUGGAGCGUGCGGUUCAAUUGGAUUCAACGCCGGGAACCUUACCGGGGGCGACGGCAGGAUGAAGGCCAGGCUGAAGGUCUUGCCGGACGCGCCGAKAGGAGKWGCAKGSYYGCCGUCAGCUCGUACCGUGAGGCGUCCACUUAAGUGUGGUAACGAGCGAGACCCGCGCCCCCAGUUGCCAGUCCCUCCCGCUUGGGAGGGAGGCACUCUGGGGGGACUGCCGGCGAUAAGCCGGAGGAAGGGGCGGGCGACGGUAGGUCAGUAUGCCCCGAAACCCCCGGGCUACACGCGCGCUACAAUGGGCGGGACAAUGGGACCCGACCCCGAAAGGGGAAGGGAAUCCCCUAAACCCGCCCUCAGUUCGGAUCGCGGGCUGCAACUCGCCCGCGUGAAGCUGGAAUCCCUAGUACCCGCGCGUCAUCAUCGCGCGGCGAAUACGUCCCUGCUCCUUGCACACACCGCCCGUCACUCCACCCGAGCGGGGCCCGGGUAGGCCCGAUCUCCUUCGGGAGUCG